This 895-nucleotide ribosomal RNA is filed under the name uncultured bacterium. Its description in RNAcentral is "bacterial SSU rRNA". It matches the Rfam family "Bacterial small subunit ribosomal RNA", at positions 50 to 953 of the family's 1533-position model. The record is from RNAcentral.
UACACAUGCAAGUCGAGCGGAGACAGUGAGUAGCUUGCUAUGAGCUGUUUUAGCGGCGGACGGGUGAGUAACGCGUGAGCAACCUUUCCCAGACAGGGGAAUAACACACCGAAAGGUGUACUAAUACCGCAUAAGACCACGGAAUCACAUGGUUCUGAGGUAAAAGAUUUAUCGGUUUGGGGUGGGCUCGCGUCCGAUUAGGUAGUUGGUGAGGUAACGGCCCACCAAGCCGACGAUCGGUAGCCGACCUGAGAGGGUGAUCGGCCACAUUGGGACUGAGACACGGCCCAAACUCCUACGGGAGGCAGCAGUGGGGAAUAUUGGGCAAUGGAGGAAACUCUGACCCAGCAACGCCGCGUGGAGGAAGAAGGUUUUCGGAUCGUAAACUCCUGUCCUUGGAGACGAGUAGAAGACGGUAUCCAAGGAGGAAGCCCCGGCUAACUACGUGCCAGCAGCCGCGGUAAUACGUAGGGGGCAAGCGUUGUCCGGAAUAAUUGGGCGUAAAGGGCGCGUAGGCGGCUCGGUAAGUCUGGAGUGAAAGUCCUGCUUUUAAGGUGGGAAUUGCUUUGGAUACUGUCGGGCUUGAGUGCAGGAGAGGUUAGUGGAAUUCCCAGUGUAGCGGUGAAAUGCGUAGAGAUUGGGAGGAACACCAGUGGCGAAGGCGACUAACUGGACUGUAACUGACGCUGAGGCGCGAAAGUGUGGGGAGCAAACAGGAUUAGAUACCCUGGUAGUCCACACUGUAAACGAUGAAUGCUAGGUGUAGGGGGUAUCGACCCCUUCUGUGCCGCAGUCAACACAAUAAGCAUUCCGCCUGGGGAGUACGGCCGCAAGGUUGAAACUCAAAGGAAUUGACGGGGGCCCGCACAAGCAGCGGAGCAUGUGGUUUAAUUCG